This 439-nucleotide ribosomal RNA is filed under the name uncultured Streptococcus sp. Its description in RNAcentral is "bacterial SSU rRNA". It matches the Rfam family "Bacterial small subunit ribosomal RNA", at positions 939 to 1382 of the family's 1533-position model. Lineage: Bacteria; Bacillati; Bacillota; Bacilli; Lactobacillales; Streptococcaceae. The record is from RNAcentral.
AUGUGGUUUAAUCGAAGCAACGCGAAGAACCUUUACCAGGUCUUGACAUCCGAUGCUAUUUCUAGAGAUAGAAAGUUACUUCGGUACAUCGGUGACAGGUGGUGCAUGGUUGUCGUCAGCUCGUGUCGUGAGAUGUUGGGUUAAGUCCCGCAACGAGCGCAACCCCUAUUGUUAGUUGCCAUCAUUCAGUUGGGCACUCUAGCGAGACUGCCGGUAAUAAACCGGAGGAAGUGGGAUGACGUCAAAUCAUCAUGCCCCUUAUGACCUGGGCUACACACGUGCUACAAUGGUUGGUACAACGAGUUGCGAGUCGGUGACGGCGAGCUAAUCUCUUAAAGCCAAUCUCAGUUCGGAUUGUAGGCUGCAACUCGCCUACAUGAAGUCGGAAUCGCUAGUAAUCGCGGAUCAGCACGCCGCGGUGAAUACGUUCCCGGGCCUU